This 253-nucleotide ribosomal RNA is filed under the name uncultured bacterium. RNAcentral describes it as "partial 16S ribosomal RNA". It matches the Rfam family "Bacterial small subunit ribosomal RNA", at positions 524 to 776 of the family's 1533-position model. The record is from RNAcentral.
GACGGAGGAUGCAAGUGUUAUCCGGACUCACUGGGCGUAAAGCGUCUGUAGGUGGUCAAAUAAGUCAACUGUUAAAUCUUGAGGCUCAACCUCAAAAUCGCAGUCGAAACUAUUAGACUAGAGUAUAGUAGGGGUAAAGGGAAUUUCCAGUGGAGCGGUGAAAUGCGUAGAGAUUGGAAAGAACACCGAUGGCGAAGGCUCUUUACUGGGCUAUUCCUAACACUGAGAGACCAAAGCUAGGGUAGCAAAGGGG